UGGGGAAUAUUGGACAAUGGGGGCAACCCUGAUCCAGCCAUGCCGCGUGAGUGAUGAAGGCCCUAGGGUUGUAAAGCUCUUUUGUGCGGGAAGAUAAUGACGGUACCGCAAGAAUAAGCCCCGGCUAACUUCGUGCCAGCAGCCGCGGUAAUACGAAGGGGGCUAGCGUUGCUCGGAAUCACUGGGCGUAAAGGGUGCGUAGGCGGGUUUCUAAGUCAGAGGUGAAAAGCCUGGAGCUCAACUCCAGAACUGCCUUUGAUACUGGAAGUCUUGAGUAUGGCAGAGGUGAGUGGAACUGCGAGUGUAGAGGUGAAAUUCGUAGAUAUUCGCAAGAACACCAGUGGCGAAGGCGGCUCACUGGGCCAUUACUGACGCUGAGGCACGAAAGCGUGGGGAGCAAAACAGGAUUAGAUACCCUGGUAGUCCACGCCGUAAACGAUGAAUGCCAGCCGUUAGUGGGUUUUACUCACUAGUGGCGCAGCUAACGCUUUAAGCAUUCCGCCUGGGGAGUACGGUCGCAAGAUUAAAAACUU
This 533-nucleotide ribosomal RNA is filed under the name uncultured bacterium. RNAcentral describes it as "partial 16S ribosomal RNA". It matches the Rfam family "Bacterial small subunit ribosomal RNA", at positions 355 to 902 of the family's 1533-position model. The record is from RNAcentral.